Molecule: small nuclear RNA, 90 nt
Filed under: Mola mola (ocean sunfish)
Lineage: Eukaryota; Metazoa; Chordata; Actinopteri; Tetraodontiformes; Molidae
Source: RNAcentral
GUGCUCAGGCCGCACAUAUGAUAAAUUAGAAUCGAUACAGAGAAGAUUAGCAAGGAUGACGCGCAAAUUCGAAAAAUUGGAAAGUAACAG